RNAcentral lists this ribosomal RNA (1341 nucleotides) under uncultured bacterium. Its description in RNAcentral is "partial 16S ribosomal RNA". It matches the Rfam family "Bacterial small subunit ribosomal RNA", at positions 28 to 1381 of the family's 1533-position model. The record is from RNAcentral.
GACGCACUCUGGCGGCGUGCUUAACACAUGCAAGUCGAACGGUAAGGCUCCAGCUUGCUGGGGUACACGAGUGGCGAACGGGUGAGUAACACGUGGGUGACCUGCCCUGCACUUCGGGAUAAGCCUGGGAAACUGGGUCUAAUACCGGAUAGGACCGCACCGUGAGGGUGUGGUGGAAAGUUUUUUCGGUGUGGGAUGGGCCCGCGGCCUAUCAGCUUGUUGGUGGGGUAAUGGCCUACCAAGGCGGCGACGGGUAGCCGGCCUGAGAGGGUGGACGGCCACAUUGGGACUGAGACACGGCCCAGACUCCUACGGGAGGCAGCAGUGGGGAAUAUUGCACAAUGGGCGGAAGCCUGAUGCAGCGACGCCGCGUGGGGGAUGACGGCCUUCGGGUUGUAAACUCCUUUCACCAUCGACGAAGGGUUUCUGACGGUAGAUGGAGAAGAAGCACCGGCUAACUACGUGCCAGCAGCCGCGGUAAUACGUAGGGUGCGAGCGUUGUCCGGAAUUACUGGGCGUAAAGAGCUCGUAGGUGGUUUGUCGCGUCGUCUGUGAAAUUCCGGGGCUUAACUCCGGGCGUGCAGGCGAUACGGGCAUAACUUGAGUACUGUAGGGGAGACUGGAAUUCCUGGUGUAGCGGUGAAAUGCGCAGAUAUCAGGAGGAACACCGGUGGCGAAGGCGGGUCUCUGGGCAGUAACUGACGCUGAGGAGCGAAAGCAUGGGGAGCGAACAGGAUUAGAUACCCUGGUAGUCCAUGCCGUAAACGGUGGGCGCUAGGUGUGGGUUUCCUUCCACGGGAUCCGUGCCGUAGCUAACGCAUUAAGCGCCCCGCCUGGGGAGUACGGCCGCAAGGCUAAAACUCAAAGGAAUUGACGGGGGCCCGCACAAGCGGCGGAGCAUGUGGAUUAAUUCGAUGCAACGCGAAGAACCUUACCUGGGCUUGACAUAUACAGGAUCGCGCCAGAGAUGGUGUUUCCCUUGUGGCUUGUAUACAGGUGGUGCAUGGUUGUCGUCAGCUCGUGUCGUGAGAUGUUGGGUUAAGUCCCGCAACGAGCGCAACCCUUGUCUUAUGUUGCCAGCACGUUGUGGUGGGGACUCGUAAGAAACUGCCGGGGUUAACUCGGAGGAAGGUGGGGAUGACGUCAAAUCAUCAUGCCCCUUAUGUCCAGGGCUUCACACAUGCUACAAUGGCCGGUACAGUGGGUUGCCAGUCCGUGAGGGCGAGCUAAUCCCGCAAAGCCGGUCUCAGUUCGGAUCGGGGUCUGCAACUCGACCCCGUGAAGUCGGAGUCGCUAGUAAUCGCAGAUCAGCAACGCUGCGGUGAAUACGUUCCCGGGCCU